UCGACGAUUUUCCGGGUUGAUCCUGCCGGAGGCUACUGCUAUCGGGGUUCGAUUAAGCCAUGCGAGUUAAAUGUUCUUCGUGAACAUAGCGAACUGCUCAGUAACACGUGGAUAACCUACCCUUAGGACCGGAAUAACCCCGGGAAACUGGGGAUAAUACCGGAUAAGCCAUAGACGCUGGAAUGCCCUAUGGUUCAAAGCUCCGGCGCCUAAGGAUGGAUCUGCGGUCUAUCAGGUUGUAGUGGGUGUAACGUACCUACUAGCCGACGACGGAUACGGGUUGUGAGAGCAAGAGCCCGGAGAUGGAUUCUGAGACACGAAUCCAGGCCCUACGGGGUGCAGCAGGCGCGAACACUUUACAAUGCGGGAAACCGCGAUAAGGGAACCCCGAGUGCCAGCAUCAAAUGUUGGCUGUCCAGAUGGUUAAAAAUCAUUUGUUAGCAAGGGCCGGGCAAGACCGGUGCCAGCCGCCGCGGUAACACCGGCGGCCCGAGUGGUAGCCGUUUUUAUUGGGUCUAAAGGGUCCGUAGCCGGCCUGAUAAGUCCUUUGGGAAAUCUGACAGCUUAACUGUCAGGCUUCUAAGGGAUACUGUCAGGCUUGGGACCGGAAGAGGUAAGGGGUACUCCAGGGGUAGGAGUGAAAUCUUGUAAUCCCUGGGGGACCAUCUGUGGCGAAGGCGCCUUACCAGAACGGGUCCGACGGUGAGGGACGAAAGCUAGGGGAGCAAACCGGAUUAGAUACCCGGGUAGUCCUAGCUGUAAACGAUGCUCGCUAGGUGUCAGACACGGUGCGACCGUGUUUGGUGCCGCAGGGAAGCCGUUAAGCGAGCCACCUGGGAAGUACGGUCGCAAGGCUGAAACUUAAAGGAAUUGGCGGGGGAGCACUACAACGGGUGGAGCCUGCGGUUUAAUUGGAUUCAACGCCGGA
RNAcentral lists this ribosomal RNA (928 nucleotides) under archaeon enrichment culture clone AOM-SR-A53. RNAcentral's name for it is "bacterial SSU rRNA". It matches the Rfam family "Archaeal small subunit ribosomal RNA", at positions 1 to 922 of the family's 1478-position model. The record is from RNAcentral.